This is a long non-coding RNA of Carassius carassius (crucian carp), 1333 nucleotides long. RefSeq lists it as uncharacterized. The transcript is spliced from 4 exons. NCBI's taxonomy places the organism in Eukaryota, Metazoa, Chordata, Actinopteri, Cypriniformes, Cyprinidae. The record is from RefSeq and is a predicted model, not a curated record.
CAUGGUUUGUUGCAGUUAUGUUAUCAGUAUGUGUCCUAUUCUGUGUACAGUACAUGCGUAUGUGAUCGUGUGCUGCACAGAAAGAGUCAUCCAUCUCCGGUAGUCAGCGAGGGACCUACAGUGGGUGACCGCAGGCAGCAGGGCCCUGCCGCACAUCCACGUUCCCUAUCAGCUUCAGAGAGGUCAGAACUGAGAGAAGGGCAUAUACCUUCUUGCUUGGUGCUGAAGUGAUGCACAGUGUCCCCUCUGAAAUAGUGAUGACUCGGCCUAAAGACAUGCUGGCAGGGGACAGGUCUGCAGGAGCUUUUGGCUGCUUUGUUGUAAAGAUCAAACAGCAAAGGAACAGUCCUGAGACUGAGUAACCCCAGCAUGAAAGAGAGAAGAGCUUCACCUUGCUGUGACACUGUUGAGACUCCAGUGUUAAGCAGGGAACCUGGACCUGGACCUGGAUCAGCGCUAUUCACAGUUCAGUGGUGCUGCAGAUAAUGAUAAUGAGGGCAGAUCUAAUUGCAGUAAGGCUGGUAUGCCACCCGCAGAUGUCUCACCUACGACUGACCUGCUGUCUGCAGUCAUGCUGCGCUAUGUAUCUUUUGCAUGUCAUAAAAGCUGUAGUAAUAUGGGUGUCUAUUUCCACACUUUUAGUUCUGCAGUGUGACUUGGCUGACAGUGUGUGAUUGCACUGUUGAUCAGAUCUUGUAACGGGCCGGCCUCCAGUGAGCUAGCUUGCCUGUCCUUUCUCAUAGCCUUUAAUAGUGUCUUUUGGGAGAAAAGAAGGAAGAACCAGUGGAGAAAAAUCUAUACCCAUUCAGAAGGACCAUCCUCAUGGCUUGUGCCUCAGAAGAGCCACAGGGAUCGAUGGCAUUUGUGUAAUCGUCUGGCCAAGGGUCGCUGGGACUCCUCACAGUGUAAUUUCUGCUCUCUUUUUUUUAUCUUGGGCAAAUUGAUCACCAUGUCAGAAGAUUGACUAAACAGAGUGCAAGAGGUGACAAUUUGUUUCUUCAUUGUGCUUCAUUCCUUUAUUCUGCACAGAGGGUGAGUUUUUGAGGGUAGUGCUUUUAGAGAAUGUGACUUGGAAAAUACUAUGAUUUUAACCAGACUCUACCUUCUGCAAAUUCACAUCGAUUAGAGCAAGAUUGCGGGCUUUCAGUAAAAAUAACAUGUUUUAGCCAGAACAUGCUUAACAGCAGCAUCAAACUGGUUAUGAUGGUAAAUGUUUAUAGAUCGCAUUUUGAAGAUGGAUUUAGCAAAUUGGUUUUGCUGCACUUUAACUGGUGUUUGUAUAAUUUAUUUAUUUUUGUACAUUACCAUUUAGAAGUUCAGAAAUGUAUUAAUA